GACGAACCGUGCGAACGUUAUUCGGAAUCACUGGGCUUAAAGCGCGUGUAGGCGGCUACGUGUGUCGGGCGUGAAAUCCCAUGGCUCAACCAUGGAAGUGCACCCGAAACUGCGUAGCUAGAGUCCUGGAGAGGAAGGUGGAAUGCUUGGUGUAGAGGUGAAAUUCGUAGAUAUCAAGCGGAACACCGGUGGCGAAGGCGGCCUUCUGGACAGUGACUGACGCUGAGACGCGAAAGCGUGGGGAGCAAACAGG
This 253-nucleotide ribosomal RNA is filed under the name uncultured bacterium. RNAcentral's name for it is "partial 16S ribosomal RNA". It matches the Rfam family "Bacterial small subunit ribosomal RNA", at positions 524 to 776 of the family's 1533-position model. The record is from RNAcentral.